CACCCUUUAAGGUGACGAAUUUUGUGUGGUUGGUUGGAAGGAAUCGAAUUCUCACCAUAGAUAAUCUCCAUUGAAGAUCAAUGGUGCCCCCUGAAAGAUGUGGAAUCGGCAGGUCAUCUUUUUUUGCUCGGUCAGUUCGUGGCUGAAGUUUGAGUAAGCUUCCUCGAGUUGUUUUCGACUCUAUGGGUUAUGCCGAGGUUGAUUGUGGACCUCCUUUGGCUUGGCAUGGGAGAGGGGUCGGUAAGGAUGAGACUCUUUGUUCGGUUUUGGAUGUUAUUAGAAGGGAUGUUAGGGAUUGGGCAUCUGUGGCCAAGCUUGAGGAUGUUUGUAAUCUUUUUUCCUUUGUUUAAUUUGUAGUUGGGUCCCUAGUUGAGGGCUUCUUAGCACAUAGCUUUUUAAUAAAAGCUCGGUUACCUUUCCAGAAAAAAAGGAAAUAAA
Molecule: long non-coding RNA, 438 nt
Organism: Magnolia sinica
Lineage: Eukaryota; Viridiplantae; Streptophyta; Magnoliopsida; Magnoliales; Magnoliaceae
Exons: 2
Source: RefSeq, a predicted model, not a curated record